Long non-coding RNA from Scylla paramamosain (green mud crab), 1239 nucleotides. RefSeq lists it as uncharacterized. NCBI's taxonomy places the organism in Eukaryota, Metazoa, Arthropoda, Malacostraca, Decapoda, Portunidae. The transcript has 3 exons. The record is from RefSeq and is a predicted model, not a curated record.
GAUUCCAUUUUUCAGUGUUGCCAUGGUGACGGUGGUGGUGGGCAUGAUACAGAUGCGGGAGCUGGAGUUUGUGCCCGAUGGAGACAUGCAGCUGGACAAAUUCUGUUGCUCAUUGGUCAGACUGGAGUUUACAUGUGUACCUCCUUCACCAUCAUUGGUGGACACUUCACCAUGAGUGAUGCUUGAGCUGUCACGGUGCUGCUGCUGUUGUCUGCCAUCAUCCCCCUGACACAGACCACCCUGCAGACCACCUUCAUCCUGGGUGCCACACGUCACUGCUGCUACAACUCAGAGCAACUGGAGCGCAAGCCAGGAAGGGAGAUGGGUUGAACAAUUUUCAUGGGUUCAGAGCAAAAGGCUUCCUCAUUCCUCCCCAAGGUAUUCUCGGAUGGUAAGCAGGUUUGACUCUGGAGCAAACCUGACCAAGGGCUACUGCCCAAGGCUACAGAGGUUCCUCUCCCUGAGGCUGAAUGCACCAUGUGAGAUGGUUCUGUUAUGUGGAUGAAUGUCAUGGUGGAUAGCAGUGCCACCACAUUCCUACAAUCAUCCAUCACUCCACUGCUCAAACGCUUCUGCAACCAAUGAUAGGUAUGCUGCCACAUUCUGCAUGGUCUCCUUGGCUCUCAGAUAAGGAUACUGUCAACAGGUUUGGGAUUGCCAAAAAAUCAUAAGGAGCUAUGUCUGAAAAGUCCAGAGAGAGAGAGAGAGAGAAAGAAUGAGCAAGAGAAAGAGUAGGAUGAAGCAAAGGAAGAGUCAAGAGGGAGGAAGAGAGAGUAGGACAAGAAAAACAGAACAAAUAAAUCCCCUACACGUCUUGUCUCCAUUCACACAAGCCAUGAAAAGCUUGUCCAUCCCUGAGUGCUCAGAAGCAGUGUUCCACUGAUGAUGUGGAAACUUGAGACACCCAAUCAUUUAAUGGGCUUUAGUAGGUUUUGUCACCAGUCUUCUGUGUGUCACUGACUACAUUUUGAAAUUUUUAUCUGUUCUAUUUAAUUUUGUGUGUAUGUACACAAUGUUUAUGGUCAAUAAACUAUUUAUAAAACUAUUUAUCUGUGUGAGUAAGAUAAAAGCAGUUAUUGUUAUUAUUAUUAUUAUUAUUAUUAUUAUUAUUAUUAUUAUUAUUAUUAUUAUUACACAUUUUCCUCCUUGUAUUUAAAUAUUAUUAUUAUUAUUAUUAUUAUUAUUAUUAUUAUUAUUAUCAUGAAUUGUUCUUGUUUAUAAAUAAAAUACUGUAACUGA